Long non-coding RNA from Ictalurus punctatus (channel catfish), 375 nucleotides. Lineage: Eukaryota; Metazoa; Chordata; Actinopteri; Siluriformes; Ictaluridae. The record is from Ensembl.
CUUGGAUACAUGUCUUGGUCAGCAGUUGUUGUCUUAUGAUGAUGGAAUAUUUUGCAAUGCUCCAGGAGAGAGAAAUCAUUGAGAUCAUGUAAUCAACUUAUUUUAUUUUUCCCCCGUUGGGUGAUCAAGCCUUUCCUCUGGUUGGUCCAAAACUUUGGAACGUUUUUGGAACCUUUGGUCUCCAUUUUCACGUGAGCCGAGCAAGGAGGCAGAGUGACGUCCUCAGAGGAAUAGGAAGGUGAAGCGAUGUCCUCAGUUGAGCAGGAAGGCACAGCGACGUCCUCAGCGGAGUAGGGAGGCAGAGUAACAUCCUCAGUGGAGUAGGAAGGAGGAGCAACGUCCAAUAUGGAGCCGGGUGUAGUGAUGUAGACCAAG